UGUCUGAGGAUUAUAGCAAGGCAAGCAAGCCCCUCAUAAAUAGCUGAGAAGCAGGGUUGGGUUGAGUUGUUACAUGUAUGCUUUGGAAGCAGUGGUUACUGGAGGUUCUUAUGGAUCAUUAUGGUUUGAAGAACCAGAAUGACUCAAAACACGGUGCAAGGAAGAUCCAUCCUUUUCUUCUGGACCAUAUCCACUUUUAGACAGCUUCUGAUUACAUUUAUGUUCCGUAUUGGCCUCAUGAGUGCUGAUCUUUAAAGGUCUGUACUUCCAGUUUUAGUAUGUGAGGACAUGAGAAGCAAGCUUAUGCAGGUCACUCACCACCUCAAGGAAAUCAGAUUGGUUUGACACACUUGUUCUCAUCAAAUCCCUGGAGGUGUCAAGAGCUAAGGAACAUAAUGUGUAGAAGUCAAAUGGCCAAGUUCUUGUUCUCUGAAUCCAAAUCAGUUACUAGCUACUAAGAUCUGUAGCAAACUGAGUGUGAGAUUAUCAUACAUCUGCUGCUGUGGUUUUCCUUCCUGUGAAGCACUUGGCUAUUAUCUGAUGCAAGUUCUUGAACACCUGAUUUGGGUUAUGGAGCAGUUUGUCUUGUGUUUCUAAAGAGUCAAACAACAACAACAGGAAGAAAAAUUUAAAAGCCUUGUAAUCAUCGUUUUAAUCAAAUGUUAUCUUCAGGCUGAUCUGCAUUUGGAAGCAUGGAUUGCUACCUGCACGUGCUGUAGUUGACAGUGGAUGCAAGCAGUUUGCCCGUCCGAGGGCAGCCAGUGUCUUACAGGCACCUUCUCGGUGUGUACACCCACUAUUAAGAUUAAUUUCGGGGCUCUUAGAGCAGGGCCAUCCCCAAAGCCGAACCACCUUCCAACUCUCCUUGCUUGAUGCCACCUAGUGGCUGCUGGCAAACAAGAGCUCUUAGCCCAAAAUUUGGGGAACACCCCAUCUUUAGGAAAGUAGCACUGCAAGUAGUAGUUAUUCUUGGAGUUGCAAAGAUAACAUCAGAUGAGGUUGCUCUCAAUUAUCUGCUGGCAUUAAUCAAGUUACUGAAUCCAUGGCAAAACCCAGCACAGGCAUGGCUUAUCAGAGUUGGCCCAGCUGUCAUCUCAAAAAGCCCAGCAGGAAACAACCCAUGAAAGUGAAUUAUUUGUAGGGGUUGUCACAGAAACCACAGAAACAGACCUUCCUUAAAAACUUAUGCCCUAUCCACAGCAUGGAUGUGGAGCCAAUGCUCAUCAGCAGUCUCAAACCUG
Long non-coding RNA from Anas platyrhynchos (mallard), 1241 nucleotides. RefSeq lists it as uncharacterized. Lineage: Eukaryota; Metazoa; Chordata; Aves; Anseriformes; Anatidae. The record is from RefSeq and is a predicted model, not a curated record.